This is a long non-coding RNA of Oreochromis niloticus (Nile tilapia), 4427 nucleotides long. RefSeq lists it as uncharacterized. The transcript is spliced from 2 exons. Lineage: Eukaryota; Metazoa; Chordata; Actinopteri; Cichliformes; Cichlidae. The record is from RefSeq and is a predicted model, not a curated record.
AGUUAAAGCGUACAGCUGCGAUCAGUGUGGUAAAGCUUUUACUCACAGUAGCCACUUACGGCUUCAUCUAGUUACCCACUCUGGAAUUAAGGCGUACAGCUGUGACAUUUGUGGAAAAACUUUCAGUCGCCAAGGGGACCUAAAUAUCCACCUCCGCAUUCACACUGGACAUGAUGUUUACUGCUGUGAUCAGUGUUGGAAACCGUUUACAACAGAUGCACAGUUACAAAGCCACAUGUUUACCCACACUGAGGAGAGACCUUAUAAAUGUGACCUGUGUGAGAAGACUUUUAAAUCUCCACGUUACCUGAAAAUACACCAAGAGAUCCACACCAGAAAGAAACUCUACAAGUGCAGUUACUGUGUGAAGCAGAGCGACACAGAUGGAUCCAGUUCUCAACCCUGUCAUCACUGUGGAGGUGGGAAAGCGUUUCGUUGCGACCUUUGUGGAAAAACUUUCAAUCAGCAGCGAAACCUAAAAAUGCAUCAGCGUAGACACACUGAAGACAAAAUGAUCUACUGUAAAGAAUGUGGAAGAGGCUUCCCCACUCAAUCUGAUUUUAAACAACAUGAAAUCUUCCACAGUGGUGUUAAAAAGCACGCCUGUAACCAGUGUGCAUACUUCUCCACCUCUGCAGGUCAGCUUAAAAGACAUAAACGAGUCCACACAGGAGAGAAACCAUACAAGUGUAGACACUGUAACAAAAGGUUCUCACAAUCGAGCAGUCGUAACCUUCAUGAACGUACACACAUUGAAGGGAACUUCAGCUGUGACCAGUGUGACAAGAGCUUCAAGAAUAUCAGUUCAUACUCCAAACACAAACGAUCCCAUUCUCAUUAUUCAUUAUCUGCUCUGUGCAAACAGAGUAAGCGUGAUCAUGAAAUCAUUCCUAUUACUGAAUCACAAUGACUCUGCAGAGACAGAAAGUUCCUCUUCUGGUUUCAGGGUCAGACUUAAAAACCUUGAGAUCAGGCUCCACAGAGUUCAGAUGGAAUCUCCUGUAAAGAGUAUCAGCUGAUGUCACACUUGGAUCUCAUGAGGUAGCUCUGAUUUCUGGACCUGCAGUAAAUAAUCCUGAAUCUUAAAUUUAAUAAGCUGCAAGUAUAGAUGUGUACAUCAAGUUUUUGUGUUUUAAUUUUAAUGCAUUUUAUUGCUCUGAAAUGCUAUUCCUUUUUACAUAAUUCCCCCUCAGAAAACAGUAGUGUUUAGUUGUAGUACUUGUAUUAUAAAGUUAUAGAAAUAUCUUUUAAAGUCAGCUGAUAAGUGUCAGUCUUGGUAGCCGGGGAUCGGUCUGCCAGGGCCUCCGCUCCUGGCCACCCCCUGACUCACAUUGCACCCGACCCCUACGGUGCCUCCUGUGGGUGGUGGGCCUGCAGGAAGAUGGGCCCCUGUCCCUUUUUCGGGCUGUACCCGGCCGGGCCCCAUGGACUAAGGCCUGGCCAGCACACGCUCGCCCUCGGGCACCCUCCCCGGGCCUGACUCCAAGGCGUGUCCCCGGUAACCAUAUCCCAGGCAGGGUGAACUGUUCCCUCGAUGGUCUUUUCAUAUGGUCUUCUGAAUUGCUCUUUGUCUGGUCCCUCACCCAGGACCAAUUUGCAAUGGGAGACGCUACCAGGGGGCAAAAGCCCCCAGACAACAUAGCUCCUGGGAUCCCUGGGAGACACAACCCCCUCCACCACGAUAAGGUAGCGAUUCGCAGAGAGAAUCAGCACUUCCGAAUUUGAGGCCAUGAGCCUCAGCCGGAAAGGGGUGGAGUGCCCUGGGCGAGGUUUUCCAGGCUUGUCCCACCUGGAGGAGGCCCCGGGGCAGACCCAGGACACGCUGGAGAGAUUAUAUCUCUCGGCUGGCCUGGGAUUGCCUUGGUGUUCCCCUGGAUAAGCUGGAGGAGGUGGCUGGGGAGAGGGAGGUCUGAGCUUCACUGCUUGGGCUGCUGCCCCUGCGACCUGGCCCCGGAUAAGCGGAAGAAAAUGGAUGGAUGAUAAGUAUGUGCAGUUUAAAGUUUCAGAGCUGGUUAGAAAUGCACAGCAGCACCGAGCAGUGUUGCACAUAUAUUAAUAAAUAGAAUUUGGCCCAUUUUUCCACUCUAUGUAACUUUGAUAAUCAAAUCACCAGAAUAAAUAAGUGAUUUCAUGAAGCAUUAGUGUGCCAUUUUCAUGUUAUAUUUUCACUAUUCUUUAUAGAGCUCCAUCACCUUUUCUCUGAUAAUCUCUGUGAUUGGAGAAGGUGAAGCUAACUUGAUCUAUGUUGCGCAGAUGAAAAGUGAAAUGACACGUGAAGGAGUUCUGAAGUACAAAUAUAUGUGCACUGUGUGUAAUGGGACUUGGCACGACUUUUAGGUUGAGAGAUUUACUAAACAUGUGGGUGAGUGGCUGUGUUUUCAUCUGCCUGUGGUGUAUCUCCUGGAUCCGGCCUAUGGCAGAGCCCUUCUCGAUUUUUCUCCCAUCGGCACUAAUUAACAGGGCUGCAUUUAAGCCCUCUGUGGCUGUCUGUCCUUCCCCAGCCCAUUAACUACCUGUAAUGGAAUCAGUUCUCAUGUUCCUUGUGAGUGUCUAUGCUUUUGAUUGUUAACUCACCCUGUUUUCCUUGUGUCUACAUCUCUUAUAAAACCACUGUUCAGCCUUUCAGCAGCUUGCACCCUUGCUCUGGAUUAGUUGCAGGCUACAGCUAAGAUCAUCCACAUGCUGGUUGAAAUCCCUGAUCGUUAAGAGUUUAUCCAGUUUAAUGAAGGAAGAUGAAAAGUCUGGAAAAAUCUGAAUGAAAACACCACCAGGGCUGGGAGGGCAGUAAAUUAAAACACAGUAAAAUAUAUUUGAUGAACCAAUCUGAAGUAGUGACUCAAAGGAGUGCAAAGUCUCAGAGUCCAUUGCUCUGCAGGAGAAACUGUCCCACCGAACGAAGAGUCCUGACGAAAUAACAGCCGACCGGGCAGAACUCAUUAAGGUGGAUUAAUGGGCCUUUCUCAGUUCUCAAGUACGUGAGUCUGUACUCGCGUUCUCGGCAAAUCCGGACUAACCAAGAACGCAUGGGAGUACGGACUCGCGAUUUGUACAAUUGGAACAACAGCGUACUUGAUGAUGUCACAGGUUCGGAGUUUUUACUGCCGUCCCCUCUUAAUUUAACUGUGAUUAAUAUGUUAUGAAGCUUAACUUUAAUCUCAGCCAAACCGAUUUACUCAAAUAAAACUCUGAAAUAGACCAAACAUUAAGAUUUAAAAAUCUAAGAGACUUGUAUAUCAUGUUUAACCUGAGUAGCAAAAGGCCGAGGGGGGUUGAAAAUGAUGUGUGGGAGUCUGUUCUCACCGGGCUCUAGUGAUCCUUGACCUCGCAGUCUGCUAUCAAGCUGGUUGGUAACAGGCAUCUCCGGAAAUGUUUAAGCACUUUUGGAAAUAUGUGAUAUCUUGAUAAAUCAAGCAGAUAUUGGAAGUUUACACAACUACAUUCUCUCCUGAAAAUAACUUAAAAGUUUAUUUUGUGACCCAGAAAGACUAAUAUUUAAAAAAAAAUUUGCCACGCUCCUCCGCCGUUGCCGUGUUUAAAUUUUGGACGAAAUGCAUUCUGGGAUAUUUAGCUGUACCAAGUCCACACAAGUCACCACCAAUGCAUGCUCGAUAAAACAGGCGGAGCACAUCCAGGACUUUUUUGCAUUCUCUGCUUGAUGCACAUGUCACUGUCACUACCCAAUCAGAAACCCGAUCGGUGCCACGCAUGUGCGAAAGGCCCAUACUUCCGCUCAUUUUAUGAUAGUUAUGGGUCAGAGUAUCUGUUAAGAUGUUAACAAAUAAUAAGUAUCUCUUAAAAUGUUUGCAAUAAUGAAACAUUUCAAUUUAAUGUAGAAAAAAACGAAAAAAAAAAGAUAGCCACAGAUCAGGACUCCCCGAUCCUUACUGCACAUGUGCAAAGUCAGACCAUACAAAUUGGGUCUACCCAAUUCGUACCGCGCAUGUGCAGAUGUUUUCUUCUUCUUCUGUUUCUUUUAAUGGCAGUUUACUCACCAGUGUACGAGGAUACUGCCACCUGCUGACCGAGCGAAUGAACCCUAUUGUAAACUGAACUAGGCGUGUUAAAUUUGAUUUAGUGGUAGUCGAGUGUGUUUAUGCUUGUCUGUGCGGAGAGGAUUAUUGGAAUAGUGAUGAUGAUUUCCGCUAUCACUGUCAACUGUCAGUAAACACUUAAUCUGGGUGAUGAAUCUUCAUGUGACAUAUUACUAGAUCUGUAUUAUAAAGUCUGUAAUUAGGCGCCAUUCUUCUUAUUUUACGGCGUUGUUGUUCAAUUGGGGGACGCUCUCUGUUGAGGAGAAAAGCAUGAAUUUGUUUGUAUACGGAUUAUCCGUUGUUUAAAUGUCCCGGGCAGUCGAAAAGGAGGCAGAGCUGUUGAGAAAUGCUAGGAGCUAACUGGGCGCUAACCGUGUCACUCAAAAUAUUGGCAAA